This 466-nucleotide ribosomal RNA is filed under the name uncultured bacterium. RNAcentral's name for it is "partial 16S ribosomal RNA". It matches the Rfam family "Bacterial small subunit ribosomal RNA", at positions 28 to 506 of the family's 1533-position model. The record is from RNAcentral.
GAUGAACGCUGGCGGCGUGCUUAACACAUGCAAGUCGAACGGAAAGGCCCAAGCUUGCUUGGGUACUCGAGUGGCGAACGGGUGAGUAACACGUGGGUGAUCUGCCCUGCACUUCGGGAUAAGCCUGGGAAACUGGGUCUAAUACCGGAUAGGACCACUUCUUGGAUGUUGUGGUGGAAAGUUUUUUCGGUGUGGGAUGAGCUCGCGGCCUAUCAGCUUGUUGGUGGGGUAAUGGCCUACCAAGGCGUCGACGGGUAGCCGGCCUGAGAGGGUGUACGGCCACAUUGGGACUGAGAUACGGCCCAGACUCCUACGGGAGGCAGCAGUGGGGAAUAUUGCACAAUGGGCGCAAGCCUGAUGCAGCGACGCCGCGUGGGGGAUGACGGCCUUCGGGUUGUAAACUCCUUUCGCUAGGGACGAAGCGUUUUGUGACGGUACCUGGAGAAGAAGCACCGACUAACUACGU